CCCCCUAAAAUCCCUAAUUUCCCCCUUGAAACCCCCAACAUUACAAACAUACCACCGUUUAAAACUUUUAACUCCAUGCCCAUUGCUAUCUUUUCUUCCUCAACCCCCAUUCUUAAACGCCCAAAUUUGGGAAGCUAUUUUUUCUUUCUCUGCAAAACUUUCCUGGUACACAUUUUUGCUGGACGGGCAUAAUUUGGAAGACUCAAAGCAAAGCACUGCUGAGUUUACUCAACCCUAUUUUAUAGCAUGUGCAAAAUCUUCUUCAACAAAUGCAAUCCAGGUUUCAAACAAUGUCGGAGUCCAUCAUCACAAAGAAUAUCCUUUUCGUAUAUUUAUAGGGGGAAUUUAAUGAAUUUGAAGUUUUUACUGUGCAAUACCGGGCCUGGUUGAGAUGCUAUUAACCCUGAACCUUAAUCUGUGGCAACCCCAAAUCUAAUAUGCUAGAUGAUUUUUAUUUUCUAAGAUAAUUUGUCCUAGCUUACAUUCAAUCUAGAAAUACAUUUCAACAUUGUCUCUAGUUACUAUGAAUUGGGUUCAUUUUUCUUCAAUGUUUUAGGGUGAUUUCGGUGUGGAUUAGUUUUGGGUUUAGAUGAUUUCGAUCUUAGCUUUCAGUUGUUUUUAAUUUGGGUUCUGAGGUUUAUUUAUUGGGUGUGGUUUUAGAUCAUUAGGGACACAAUUCACUUCAGAGUUAUGUUAAUUUGGUUUUGAGUUAAAUUUUGUAUGAUCCAAUUGAGUUGAGUUAAAAAAGUGUUUUCUGGGUUUUAUAAUUUGCUUCUUUUAUAACUGCUUUUCUUUUUUUGUUCAUUUAUAUUCUUAUGUUUUCCAUGUGUUUGUUUUAAUGCCUGUUUGGUAUUUCACAUAUAUAUAUGUUUUGUUGGCUUUGAAGGUAAGAAGAUCCUCAUCAUGGUGAGAGGCAAAGCACAAAUGAGGCGCAUACAGACCGAUACGAGCAG
This is a long non-coding RNA of Gossypium raimondii (Peruvian cotton), 953 nucleotides long. RefSeq lists it as uncharacterized. The transcript is spliced from 3 exons. Lineage: Eukaryota; Viridiplantae; Streptophyta; Magnoliopsida; Malvales; Malvaceae. The record is from RefSeq and is a predicted model, not a curated record.